CUCUCUUUUCGCUCCUGUUACCGAUGUCCAGAGGACGCCCGAUCCUCUCCCCUUUCAGCAAUAAUGACAUAUCCAAAUUGUUUUUAUAAAUUUAUUUACUUUGGGUUUACAUCUGCGGAAGAAAUACCUCCAGAUGAUAUGCUGAUGCUGAAUAUAUUCUCGUGUUCUCAAUAAAUUUAUUUGGCUAAUUUUUUUUCUCAUUCGAUAUUUUUUUAUUCAGGGAACGGGAAUUGCAGAGAAUUUUUGAGGGAUGACAGGGUGUGGGCAGCUCGGAGGAAUCGCCAAUUUGCGAGAUGCAAUCAGUGACAAAGUGGGAUAAAUUUUAUAGUUCUGUUAAAUGGAGUAAUUUUAAUGGAUUGGUGUUUAAUAUUUUAUUUAUCGAGUUAUCACCUUCGUGAUAUUACAAGAAACAAAAUUUGGUGUAAACUGGGUACACCCCAGAACAGUGAGAAAUUAUAACAGAACUAAACAAGUCAAGUAAUUUAGCAUUUCCAAAUGCUUAAACACAACGAAAAAUAUUUUGAUCUCCACUGCGCGUUGUUUGCAAUUCUCCUACGAAAUUGAAUAAUUUCAUUAUUCCAGAAGAUUUUUAGAAAAACAAGUUCAAUUUUUAUAUUGAAACUAUAGUCUUACAUUUUUUUCACCAGGAAAAAAUUGUCAGUGUAUUAUGUACGAACUGUUUAACUCUGUGAAAUCGAUUUUCACACUUUCUUUCAUAGUCGUCAAAUUUUUACAAACUCCAUAGAUUUUUUGUUGAUGCCAUAUAUUCAAGAGAAGUGAGAAAAUUCAUGUCAGAAAAUAAAUCUAGAUUGUCAACUCCAAUCCUUUAAAAUGAAAAUUCUUAUGUUAUUAGAUUGUAAAUUAUCUGUUUCAGCAACAGAUGAACGCUAUAAAAAGAACAUAAAUAAAAAGUCAUCAUUUUGUCAAGAGUAAAUGAUUAAUGUGAAUAGUGAAUUCUUCAGUCUUUCUUAAUAAACUUUGGUCCAUAA
Long non-coding RNA from Fopius arisanus, 989 nucleotides. RefSeq lists it as uncharacterized. The record is from RefSeq and is a predicted model, not a curated record. Lineage: Eukaryota; Metazoa; Arthropoda; Insecta; Hymenoptera; Braconidae. The transcript has 2 exons.